This 1261-nucleotide long non-coding RNA is filed under the name Diabrotica virgifera virgifera (western corn rootworm). RNAcentral describes it as "uncharacterized LOC126879761". Lineage: Eukaryota; Metazoa; Arthropoda; Insecta; Coleoptera; Chrysomelidae. The record is from RNAcentral.
UCUACAGGUCGAGCAAGUCUCGUAAAUUUCACGAUUGCGAGCCACGCUUCACGCAACCGUGUUUGCGUACUUGUGUUUCGAGUUGCGUGGUCGUGCGGAGUUAUAUUUACCAAAUUUCAUAGAAGAGUGGGUGGGGCCAAAUUUAAAUAUAAUCGUUUCUACUGAUUCAUAAUAAUAAUAUGUAGGUAUACUAUUCUCAAUAUGGUUACUGGGUGUAAAAGAUAAAUCUUAUUCUAUCUGUUCUUCAUGAGUUUUAGAUAAUUUUAGUUGUAUUUCUUUGUAAUUUUGUGUUGUACAAAGAUUAAUUUAACAUUUUCUCUGGAAGUAUUAAUUUAGAAAGAUAAUAUGCUUCAUUGGUGUUGUGUUUUGAAGUGUGAAAUGCAAAGUAAUUGUGAUAAAGUCAAGAUAAAGUUCACUUUUAAACUGAACUAAAUAAGGUAUCUGAGAGACAACAAUGGUUAAAUGCAAUACAAUGUACAGGUUUUACUAGCGAAAUGAAAAUUUUCCUGUCCUGUCUGCUGUAAUCAUUUUAUAUCUGGAAAAUAGGAAAACCAGCCGACUUAAUCGAUAAUAACAAUCUCCAGAUUGGGUUCCUUCAAUAAAUAUGGGCUAUAAACACAAUGAAAUAAGUUCCCCAAAAUCUAAAAUGGAGUGGUAUCAAAGGAGAAUUAAAGGAAAAAAUAUUCAUAUUGAAAUUAUUUAUAAGGCACUGGACUGUCUUAAAUUCUACAAUAAUACUAGGUGGGUAAAUGAUUUUAGACAUUUUUCAUUAAGAGUAGAUUAAGAUUAAGUAGAUUUUCAUUCAGUAGAUUUAAGACUUGUUUACACGGGUAGAGUAAUGAUGCAAGUACUUGAUAGAGUAGAGUAACUCUACCUGUAAAAAUGCUCAGCACAGUAGAAUAGCUGGUAGAGUGUAUAGUUGGAGUUAAAGUAGAGUGACUAGCAACCUAUGGCAAAGUAACUACUCUAUGACCACCACUACUGCCAAAAUGUCUACUCAGCUGCACACUCUACCCAUGGAACACGCUCAAUUACGGCAGAAUAGAGUAGGUAGGAGAGUACAUGGGGGCGCUGUCAUUCUGGCUGGAAUUGUGUUUUGUGUAAAUAGUGAAAAUGAAGUUCACCGAAGAUGAAACUUUAAAACUUGUAGAGCUAUAAUACGGCGAAUACCAGUGUUUAUGGAAUUUAGGUAGUGUAUACUACAGAAAUAAAAGUUUGCAGCAAGCUGCGCAGGAUGAAAUCGUCGAAAGAAUGGCAAAGG